RNAcentral lists this ribosomal RNA (449 nucleotides) under uncultured bacterium. Its description in RNAcentral is "bacterial SSU rRNA". It matches the Rfam family "Bacterial small subunit ribosomal RNA", at positions 330 to 793 of the family's 1533-position model. The record is from RNAcentral.
GCCAGACUCCUACGGGAGGCAGCAGUGGGGGAUAUUGGACAAUGGGGGAAACCCUGAUCCAGCGACGCCGCGUGAGUGAAGAAGUAUUUCGGUAUGUAAAGCUCUGUCAGCAGGGAAGAGAGAAAUGACGGUACCUGACCAAGAAGCCCCGGCUAACUACGUGCCAGCAGCCGCGGUAAUACGUAGGGGGCAAGCGUUAUCCGGGAUUACUGGGUGUAAAGGGAGCGUAGACGGUGAUGCAAGUCUGGAGUGAAAGGCGGGGGCCCAACCCCCGGACUGCUCUGGAAACUGUGUAGCUUGAGUGCAGGAGAGGUAAGCGGAAUUCCUAGUGUAGCGGUGAAAUGCGUAGAUAUUAGGAGGAACACCAGUGGCGAAGGCGGCUUACUGGACUGUAACUGACGUUGAGGCUCGAAAGCGUGGGGAGCAAACAGGAUUAGAUACCCCAGUAC